Molecule: ribosomal RNA, 1262 nt
Filed under: Brachycarpus biunguiculatus
Lineage: Eukaryota; Metazoa; Arthropoda; Malacostraca; Decapoda; Palaemonidae
Description: SSU rRNA
Rfam family: Eukaryotic small subunit ribosomal RNA
Source: RNAcentral
AAGUUGUUGCGGUUAAAAGCUCGUAGUUCGAGCUCAGUUCCGGACUGGCCGGGGAGGUCACCGCCCGGUGCUUCCCCGUCAGGCUCCGAACAGCUUCCCUGAGUGGAAGCCAAGCCGGUUCUGCCGGGGUGCUCUUUACCGAGUGUCCCGCGCGGCCGGCCAGUUCACCUUGAAUAAAUGAGAGUGCUCAAAGCAGGCUACUCUCGAAUACAAUGCCCGAAUGUUACCUGCAUGGAAUGAUGGAAGAUGAUCUCGGUUCCAUUUUAUUGGUGGUGGGAGCCCGAGGUAAUGAUAAACAGGGACUGUCGGGGGCAUCCGUACUACGACGCGAGAGGUGAAAUUCAGUGACCGUCGUAGGACGAACAACAGCGAAAGCAUUUGCCAAGAAUGUCUUCGUUGAUCAAGAACGAAAGUUAGAGGAUCGAAGGCGAUCAGAUACCGCCCUAGUUCUAACCCUAAACGAUGCUGACUAGCAAUUCGCCGUCGUUAUUCCCAUGACGUGGCGAGACGCCCCCGGGAAACCUCAAGUCUUUGAGUUCCGGGGGUAGUAUGGUUGCAAAACUGAAACUUAAAGGAAUUGACGGAAGGGCACCACCAGGAGUGGAGCCUGCGGCUUAAUUUGACUCAACACGGGAAACCUCACCAGGCCCGGACACCAGAAGGAUUGACAGAUUAAGAGCUCUUUCUCGAUUUGGUGGGUGGUGGUGCAUGGCCGUUCUUAGUUGGUGGAGUGAUUUGUCUGGUUAAUUCCGGUAACGAACGAGACUCUGGCCUACUAAAUAGUCGACGGGCGUUUUGGUGCAUGGGCCCCGUUCGACACAGUCUUCUUAGAGGGAUGAGCAGCGAGUAUAGCUGCAGGAGAUUGAGCAAUAACAGGUCUGUGAUGCCCUUAGAUGUCCUGGGCCGCACGCGCGCUACACUGAAUGGGUUAGCGGGUUGUCCUUCUCCGAGAGGAGCGGGAAAUCGCGUGAAAACCAUUCGUGAUAGGGAUUGGGGCUUGCAAUUGUUUCCCAUGAACGAGGAAUUCCCAGUAAGCGCAAGUCAUCAGCUUGCGUUGAUUAAGUCCCUGCCCUUUGUACACACCGCCCGUCGCUACUACCGAUUGAAUGAUUUAGUGAGGCCUUCGGACUGGCGGUCUUGGACUGGGGCGCCGGCGUUCUCCCAGCAAUGGGGUGCCGGCGACCCGCCUGGACGGGCCGGAAAGAUGUCCAAACUUGAUCAUUUAGAGGAAGUAAAAGUCGUAACAAGGUUUCCGUAGGUGA